AGCCCUGGACCAAAGGCUGGGCUGGGAGAUCAGCCAGGUGGAAACACCCACCACAGAACAGGGAGUGCUGGAUUAAUCCUUCCUGGGCCUGCAGGUUGGGGGGACCUCAGGGGAGGACAUCUGGGCUUCGGAGCUGGAGCAGCCUCUAAUUCAGCACCUUCCAGUGCAAGGAGCCACACAUGCAAGUGAGUCAGUGAUGAGAACCAACCAGGGAAAACUGGACUGCUUCCAAGGCAGCCUGUCUGGACCUGUCUUGGGAGGUGCUGCUGAUCUGAUCGGUGAGAGAAUCACGAGUUGUGCAGGUUUUGCUUGGGCCUCCCUCUUUCCCGUAGGUUUCCGCAGAGGCUGCAGCAAAUACCUGACAAGGGCUCGGGAUGCAGAAGCACAGAUGUUCCUGCAUCUGUAUAAACAGGAGAAAUGAACAGCACUCACAAAAACUACUGCAGAGACAGAAUGAGGCUUCACCAUGUGAGAUCUUGGAACAGCACCUGCUGCGCACGAUCGAUGCCUGAUACAUGUGAGCUGUCAGUAUUAUGCUUCCCAGCCUGCUCCCUCACCAACGCCCUGCUGCAAGACCUCAGGAAAAGAUAACUGCCUGAAAGCCCCUCCUAGAAGUUCCACAUGAAGAGUGGUCAGGCCAGACGCAGUGGCGCAUGUCUGUAAUUCCAUCAAGGCUGAGGCAGGAGGAUUAUGAGUUCAAAGUCAGCCUUAGCAACUUAGUGAGGCCUUGAGCAACUCAGGGGGACCCUGUCUCUAAAUAAAAUACAAAAGGGGCUGGGGAUGUGGCUCAGUGGUUAAGCACCCCUGAGUUCAAUCCCUGGAACAACAACAACAACAACCAAGUGGUCAGCUGGAGCCACAACUGAACGUUACACAGAGAUUGAGUGAGACCCCUCUAGAGCGAGAGCCUGAGUAAUCAGGAAGGGGUUGAGUGGUAGGGAUGUCCGUUAUGCAGGAUGUCCAGUUCACAUGGGGAAGUGACCACACUGACAUGGUAUUGUCAACCCUGGAUUUGUUUGUCCCCCUCAACUAGGGUCUCCAAGAUGCCCACAUAUAGAAGCCAGGGAGUCCUCAACUCCCAUGACGAUUUUUACUGUCCAGGAGAGUCCUUGUCUAUCUAUGGCACGGUAGGGGAUGGGAGGGGGGCUUGGAGAGGUAAAGGGUCAAGGCCAUAAGCCAAAGACACUCCCUUGCGUGUCUGUCUUCCUUCCUUUCUGCUUUGCUGCUGGGGGCUCAAAUCCAGGGCUUCAUAUAUGCUAGGUAAGCACUCUACCACAGAGUGGCACCUCAGUUCCUCAAAGACACCACUUUUCACAGAGACACACUGCCUUCCAUUCCUUUAGGCAGUAGGAGUACAAAGUUUUCAAGCGGUGGAAAUAACUCCACUUCUUCUCUUCCUGCCCGCCCCAGGCUUCCUUCUAUCCUCCUCUAGACCCAGGAGUCUGCCUGGGCCCUCCCCUGCUCUUGCCUGCUCUCCCUUUCCUCCUCAGGAAUGAGAGAACUCUUCUGAGACGACACGCAGCACCCCGGGCAGGAUGUUCUUGAAUCAUUUCUUCCCAGUGAUGAAAGGCCAGAGCCUUGCAGUCUGUUAAGUUUGACAGACAAUCUGUCUUCAUUUUUGAAAUGUCCCCUAAAAAGAACAAUCUGUUAUACUCUGGCCCACACAUUUGAAUGGAAAUGAAAUUAUGAAAUCUGACCCAAACAUCACAAAGGAAGGAGUAACCUUGGAGGGAAGGGAUGCAUGGGAAACUUUCUGCUGGCAGCUCAGCCCAGAAGUUGCCCUUUGUGCAUUUUCAUGGAAAUGAUGGAUACCAGUGCCCUCCGUGUGCAUGUGAGUCACACUGGAAAGACUCAUCCAGGCCAGAAAGGAGACCGCUCACUGUCGACACGGAACAUUACCCAUCCGCUGGCUUUCAAACCUGCUGAAGCGAACAUUUUGGGAAGGAAAUAGAGCAGAGCUAAAUUUCCCAGCCAUGUGAAAACAGAGAGAGGGAAGCACAUAUCCUCCAAGGAUCCCAACUUUGUCUGUGGUCUGGCUCUUAUUGCAUCCAGAAAGGCUGUCCCAAGUGCAGGGUGGUCCUCAGAACGAGCUCCCCUAUCAUCUCUCCCCUCCUCAGCAAAUUCCAGAAAGUCUAGCCAGGUUUUAUCCGGUGGGCAGACCUGACUUCAAUCUAGACCUGAGAUGUUCAAGGUCUCCCGGGGUGGGGAUCAGGGUAGAGAUUUCUGUCUUGUGAUUUCAAGUGGGAAAGAUCAUAACAGAAAUAACUAACAUUUACAGUACAUUUACUAAGCUUUGAUUACUGAGUUAAGCUCUUCCUGUGUAUUUUAAAUAUUUAAUUUGCAGGAGGAAGGUCCUUUUAUGGCCAUUUUACGAAUGUGGAAACUGAGACUGACUUCUCUUUGAAAAACCAACAAACAAGCUUGGCUGGUAAAACCUGGAGUAGGCAUGACCCUUGGAGCUCAUUCUUACUUGCUAAAGUCUGGUGCAAUACGUUCCUUUUUGGAAUGUGUCUUCUGUAGAAAUGAGACACAAAAGCCCAAGACAUCGGCUUCCAAGAGCACCCAGGGCCCAUUCUGGAAGCUCAUGUCAGGGCCUCCAUGAUGUUCAGACUCAGCAGAGGGGGCAGAUUGGGCUUUGGUCCCGCCUCUCCUCCUUUCCAUCCUAGCUUCUAAGAGUUGCCCCCCCCACCCUUCUCCCCUCCCCCCAGAGGCAUUCCACCUCUGUCCUCCUCGUUGGGCUCCUUCUUGGGGCAUGCCAUGGCUUGGGCCGUCUCGGUCUCCAAGGGGAUGGGUGAUUUAUGUCCUUUUAUUCAACAAACAGCUUUGUAUAGAAGGGAUGUGACUUGCUGAAUGCCACCAGGCGGGGGGGCAGGGAAGCUGUGCAGAAUCCCAAUGAAGCUCUCUGGGCCUGGGCAAAAUGGCAUGGGGAGACUCUGCUAUUGUGUGUGUUUGCUCUGGUGGGAGGAAGGGCAAAGCAGCCAAUCCUGAAAGGUUCCAGAUAGGGGGAUGGAGCAGCAAGGGAAGGCCCAAAGCCCCAGCGUCCUAGUUGUGCUGCCAGUGCCUGACUUUUCUCAAUUUUCCAUGCCCUCCUGGCACUCUGUAGGAGUAGGCCUCCUCGUCCCUGGACAAAAAUUAGGAGGGGCUCCUUUCUGUGGGGCUGAGUGAGUUCAGAGGCGGAGUGUGCCAGGACCUUAGAACCCUUGGCUGCAGAAUAAAUUGAGGGGCAUGGAGACAUUCACUAGGACAACAUCGGGGCUCCACUCUGCACACAACCCUUCCCAAACCCAGGAGGCCCUGUGGUCUACCUGCUUUCUAUGUUCAUCUUUCACCUCACCCCAUGGAUGUCUGGGUCUGUAAGUUCUCUGACACCAUGAGCCACACCUAUUCCUCCCCCGCCCCAGGAUGCCCAGCACAGCCCUAUCUUCAAAACACAGUAGGUACUCCAUGUUUGUUGAAUGAAUAACAAAUGUCAUUUCAUUCCCUAUUAAUCCUGACACCCAUCAUUGCCCGGGAGCCUGAGGGCUGCUCUGGGAUACCUGACAGAAUGACAAAGCAUGACCCCAGUGUUUGGGGCAGAUGAUUCUCCAUGGUGCCAACCAGUGUGUGACAGAUGCACUAAGGAACAGGAAGAAUGAGAGCUGCAGGACCAAGGUUUGGUCCCACUCUCUGCCUUCUCCCACUGGAAGAGCUUACCAAGGCAUAAUCUAGUCUCACCUACUCCAAGCCUGACUCCUUUCAGCAGCUGGCCCCGUCCCCAGCUUGGUCCCUCCCCAGAACAGGCUGCAGUGACUUGUCUGAGUCUGCAGCCCCAAGGCCCCCAUGCUGGCUCCCUCAGCCUCCCCCACAUUCAGUCACCAGGGAGGACGGCAAUUAGUCUUCAUUAUGCUGCUCGGCCUAACCUGGCCUGGUGAAAAAACUCCUUGUUCCCCACUUUUCAGAUCAAUGUGGACCUGGCACACAGGAUCCAGAGACUGGCUACACAGGGACUGGGGAGGGCAGAAGAAAACAUUCAGAGCCUGUGAGAGGAGCAGGUCCACUCUUGCCCCCAGAGCAGAGAGACAGCAGGGUCCCCUGGAAACAUGGGGCAGCUGGAAAGAGCAAAGUGAGGAGAAUGGAAAGGGACAAAGGCAUGUGAAAAGGCCACAACAAUGGGGCAAAUGGAGGGGCAAGAGGGAAACGAAGAAAAUGCGAUGUCUCUUUGGUAUGUCCUGAUGUGCGCUUUGUUCUGUAUCAUUUCCUUGGAACACCCCUGUGGGAUACCCCACAUGGCAGGGGUGGUGGUAAAGGGUAAGAGGAGCUGGAGGUAGAAGAAAGGAGGGCUGAAGGGAAAUGCUGAGCAUUUACCUAUUCUCUUUCCUUUCCCAAACCUUGGUCUCAUCUGCACUGAGAGCAUCAGAUCCUGGAUUUCAGUUCUGGGAGUCAGAGGCAGGACCUUGGCUUUGCUGAACUAAGGGCCGUCCAGGGAUUUCAAGGUCUCUCAGAUAGCACUAAGCCCUUGUUUUCCUACCUGCACUCAAACACCCCAAGAGUGAAGUCAGGGUCUGUCUUCAGGAUCUGUAAGUCCUCUGAGAUUAUAAGCCAUGGCUGUUCCCACAUAACAUCAACAUAGGGGAUGCCCAGCCUAGUCCAUUAUCAGAAGGCAACUGGUCUACCCUUCAAAAUCCAAUACCCUGCCUUCCUGCUGCCAUUCCACAGGUAUGUAACACAGCCCUGGCUCAGGGACACUAACAACCAACAGGCAGGGUAACUCCCCAAGCUUCCCAACCCUGGGGCAGAAAGAGUCCCUGCCCCUCUCUCAUCAGGCCCUUGAUACUUCAGAAGCAAGUGCAAAAGGGGCAGAUUCUACCAGGACCUCUGGAGAAACAAUUCUGCUGACGGUACCCAAGGAAAAGAAGGGAGAGAAAUGGGGAGGGUCCCUACAGAAGGAGGGUGACGGUCAAUAAAGAAGUGAGCUUAGGGGGCAUAGUGAAAGAGAGAAGGAACACAGGGCAGUAGCAGGGAUCUCACCCUCCCUCCCCAGGAAGCAGGGGCUCCAAGGCUUUGAUCCUCAGUCCCUAAGCAAUGCCAUCCCUGCCCUUUCACUCUGUAGAUGGAGAUACUAGCUAAGCACUGGGAAAGGCAGCUCUUCAUGGUCCCCACCACAUCCUUCUAUUGGACUUUGAGAUUAUUUUCUUUGUUGCCAUCCUGUGAGUUAAUUUACCUCUAUGAAAUCAGUUCUUUCUUCCUUUCUUUCUUCCUAAAAUCCUCAAGCCAGUCUCCUUUCUUUUGCCGCUUCAUGUUUUGCCCCCGCUGAUCUGAAAAAUGUGCCUGAGCUUACGUGUCCUGGGGGCUGGACAGGUGGCAGUGAGAGUGUGGGCGGAGGGGGCUGUUCCCUAGCAGAGAUGACCAGGCGCUGAUACAUCCCCCCG
Long non-coding RNA from Ictidomys tridecemlineatus (thirteen-lined ground squirrel), 5408 nucleotides. RefSeq lists it as uncharacterized. Lineage: Eukaryota; Metazoa; Chordata; Mammalia; Rodentia; Sciuridae. The record is from RefSeq and is a predicted model, not a curated record.